Molecule: non-coding RNA, 215 nt
Filed under: Clostridiales bacterium
Lineage: Bacteria; Bacillati; Bacillota; Clostridia; Eubacteriales
Description: T-box sequence
Rfam family: T-box leader
About the family: Uncharged tRNA acts as the effector for transcription antitermination of genes in the T-box leader family. T-boxes are found upstream of many aminoacyl-tRNA synthetase genes and some amino acid biosynthetic genes usually in Gram-positive bacteria.
Source: RNAcentral
UUAAAAUCAAAGAUGGAGAGAGUAGAUUACUGCGUCUUUCAGAGAGGAUAUGCCACAGGCUGAGAGCAUAUUCAGCAACGUAUUAUUUGAAGUUCACUCCGGAGAUUCAAGGCUGAAUUUAUAGUAGGCUUUGACGGCCAAGCCGUUAUAGUUUCAAGUGGUCUGUAUCAGUACAGACAAUUUGGGUGGCACCGCGAACAACCUUCGUCCCAUUU